RNAcentral lists this long non-coding RNA (3110 nucleotides) under Homo sapiens (human). RNAcentral describes it as "HSALNT0253554". Lineage: Eukaryota; Metazoa; Chordata; Mammalia; Primates; Hominidae. The record is from RNAcentral.
GGGCAAUGGCGGGCGCCCCUCCCCCAGCCUCGCUGCCGCCUUGCAGUUUGAUCUCAGACUGCUGUGCUAGCAAUCCGCGAGACUCCGUGGGGUAGGACCCUCCGAGCCAGGUGCGGCAUAUAAUCUCGUGGUGCGCCGUUUUUUAAGCCCGUGGGGAAAGCGCAGUGUUCUGGUGGGAGUGACCCGAUUUUCCAGGUGCCGUCCGUCACCCCUUUCUUUGACUAGGAAAGGGAACUCCCUGACCCUUGCUCUUCCCGAGUGAGGCAAUGCCUCGCCCUGCUUCGGCUCGCGCAGGGUGCGCGCACCCACUGACCUGCGCCCACUGUCUGGCACUCCCUAGUGAGAUGAACCCGGUACCUCAGAUGGAAAUGCAGAAAUCAACCAUCUUCUGUGUCGCUCACGCUGGGAGCUGUAGACCGGAGCUGUUCCUAUUUGGCCAUCUUGGCUCCUUCCUCAUCCUUAUUCAAUUCUUGAACGGGCCAUCACCGUCUUCAUAAAGAGAGCCAGUGACAAGUCCUGCCCUGGGACCUAGGAAAGACCCAAGAAGCCAGGAUUAUCCAGAACCCCAGAUCUGCUGACUCCUCCAUGUCCCCCGCCAAGGCUGGAGAAAGGCAGAACACUAACCUGAGACAGGAGGAGGGUCAUCACUCCCCACCCUUCAGCGUGGGCUGUGAAGAGGAACUUCCUUCUUAAGAGUACAGCAUGGGCAGUGAGACGAGAUCACACCACUGCACUCCAGCCUGGUAACAGAAUGAGACUACAUCUCAAAAAAAAAAAAAAAAAAAAAAAAAAAAAGGAUGGUUGCUUCCAAGAUGGCCAAAUAGGAACAGCUCUUGUCUGCAGCUCCCAGGGAGAUCAACACAGAAGACAGGUGAUUUCUGCAUUUCCAACUGAGGUACCUGGUUCAUCUCACUGGGACUGACUGGUUGGACUGUAGGUGCAGCCCACAGAGAGCAAGACGAAGCAGAGUGGGGUGUCACAUCACCUAGGAAGUGCAAGGGUUCAGGGGAUUUCCCUUUUCUAGCCAAGGGAAGCCGUGAGAGACUGUACCUGGAGGAACAGUAUACUCUUGCCCAAAUACUGUGCUUUUCCCAUGGUAUUAGCAACUGACAGACCAGGAGAUUCCCUCCUGUGCCUGGCUCAGUGUGUCCCAUGCCCACAGUCUUGCUCACUGUUAGCGCAGCAGUCUGAGAUCAACCUGCUAGGCUGCAGCCUGACAGGGGGAGGAGCAUCUGCCAUUGCUGAGGCUUGAGUAUUAAACAAAGCGGCUGGGAAGCUUGAACUGGGCAGAGCCCACCGCAGCUCAGCAGUGCCUACUGCCUCUCAAGAAUCUACCUCUGUGGGCAGGGCAUACCUGAACAAAAGGCAGCAGACAACAUCUGCAGACUUAAACGUCCCUGUCUGACAGCUCUGAAGAGAGUAGUGUUUCUCCCAGCAUGGCAUUUGAGCUCUGAGAACAGACAGACUGCCUCCUCAAGCAGGCCUCUGACCCCCAUGUAGCCUGUCUAGGGGACACCUCCCAGAAGGGGCCGACAGACACCUCAUACAGGCAGGUGCGCCUCUGGGACGAAGCUUCGAGAGGUAGGAGCAGGCAGCAAUAUUUGCUGUUCUGCAAUAUUUGCUGUUCUGCAGCCUCUGCUGGGGAAGACUGAGGGUCUGGAGUGGACCUCCAGCAAACUCCAACGGACCUGCUGCUGAGGGGCCUGACUGUUAGAAGGAAAACUAACAAACAGAAAAGAAUAGCAUCAACAUCAACAAAAAGGACAUCCACACCAAAACCCCAUCUGUAGGUCACCAACAUCAAAGACCAAAGGUAGAAUAAACCACAAAGAUGGGUAGAAACCAGAGCAGAAAGGCUGAAAAUUCCAAAAACCAGAGUGCCUUUUCUCCUCCAAAGGACUGCAGCUUCUCACCAGCAACAGAACAAAACUGGAGGGUGAAUGAGCUUGACGAGUUGACAGAAGUAGGCUUCAGAAGGUUGGUAAUAACAAACUUCUCGGAGCUAAAAGAAGGAUGUUUGAACCCAUGGCAAGGAAGCUAAAAACCUUGAAAAAAGGUUAGACGAAUGGCUAACUAGAAUAAACAGUGUAGAGAAGACCUUAAAUGACCUGAUGGAGCUAAAAACCGCAGCAUGAGAACUUCGUGAUGCAUGCACAAGCUUCAAUAGCCAAUUCGAUCAAGUGGAAGAAAGAAUAUCAGUGACUGAAGAUCAAAUUAAUGAAAUAAAGCGAGAAGACAAAAUUAGAGAAAAAUGAGUGAAAAGAAACGAACAAAGCUUCCAUGAAAUAUGCAAUUCUGUAAAAAGACCAAAUCUCCGUUUGAUUGGUGUACCUGAAAGUGACAGUGAGAAUGGAACCAAGUUAGAAAACACUCUUCAGGAUAUUAUCCAGGAGAACUUCCCAACCUAGAAAGGCGGGCCAACAUUCAAAUUCAGGAAAUACAGAGAACACCACAAAGAUACUCCUCUAGAAGAGCAACCCCAAGACACAUAAUUGUCAGAUUCACCAAGGUUGAAAUAAACGGAAAAAUGUUAAGGGCAGCCAGAGAGAAAGGUCAGAUUACCCACAAAGGCAAGCCCAUCAGACUAACAGUGCAUCUCUCGGCAGAAACCCUACAAGCCAGAAGAGAGUGGGGGCCAAUAUUCAACAUUCUUAAAGAAAAGAAUUUUCAACCCAGAAUUUCAUCUCCAGCCAAACUAAGCCUUCAUAAGUGAAGGAGAAAUAAAAUCUUUUACAGACAAGCAAAUGCUGAGAGAUUUUGUAACCACCAGACCUGCCUUACAAGAGCUCUUGAAGGAAGCACUAAACAUGGAAAGGAAGAACCGGUACCUGCCACUGCAAAAACAUGCCAAAUUAUAAAGACCAUCAAUGCUAUGAAGAAACUGCAUCAAUUAACAGGCAAAAUAACCAGCUAAUAUCAUAAUGACAGGAUCAAAUUCACACAUAACAAUAUUAACCUUAAAUGUAAAUGGACUAAAUGCCCCAAUUAAAACACACAGACUGGCAAAUUGAAUAAAGAGUCAAGACCCAUCAGUGUGCUGUAUUCAGGAGACCCAUCUCAUGUGCAGAGACACACAUAGGCUCAAAAUAAAGGGAUGUAGGAAGCUCCAC